GACCUGGUAACGAAGGUCAUCCAUCCGCAUUGAAUUUGCGAUUCCUGAAUCACAUGCGGCGGGAGUCCCUGGUUCGAAUCCGGGCUAGGUCA
Mycena epipterygia is the source of this 92-nucleotide non-coding RNA. NCBI's taxonomy places the organism in Eukaryota, Fungi, Basidiomycota, Agaricomycetes, Agaricales, Mycenaceae. The record is from the annotation of a GenBank genome assembly.